Long non-coding RNA from Camelus dromedarius (Arabian camel), 1648 nucleotides. RefSeq lists it as uncharacterized. The record is from RefSeq and is a predicted model, not a curated record. Lineage: Eukaryota; Metazoa; Chordata; Mammalia; Artiodactyla; Camelidae. The transcript is spliced from 3 exons.
ACACUAUAUGUAUAGUCAAGGUUCAGUGAGUGGUAGCACAUAGAAGAAAGCAAUAAACUCUUCCCAGGGAGGCCAGGGAAGGUCUGACACCUUCUCUCAGAGGAGUUACUGAUUGAGCUGGAUUUUAAAGAAGAAAGAAUUUUCCAGGGAAAAACCCGAUUGCAAGUGGAGCAUUUAGUCUAAAAGAAGAAGAGAGACAUCCUGUGAGACAGAGUUGAUCAGGUGAUCAAUUGUGGAUGGCUAAUGCUGAUUGAUUGACACGCUGGAGAAGCUGAAGUCAUGAAGACUUUUUUUUCUUUUUCACUCCUUUCUGUUUUCUUAUUAACCUUCUUUUCCUGAAAAUGCCAUGUCUUUGGCUGGGAACAGCCAUGUGUUUAGAGUUGAAUUUUAGGAGCACUACUUUUUGUUGAAAAUGCUAUUAUUCCUUUGUAAACUACUGCAGUAUUCAUGUUUGCUUUUUUUGUUUGUGUUUUAAGUUUCAUAGGUGAGGGUCUGUUUUUAUGUCUCUGAACCUCAUGGAAUUUGCCUGUUGCUGAAGAAUCUGAACGUAUCGCAUUAAAAGAUCUCCCAAGAGUCUAAAGAAAUAACUCCCCAUUUCUGACUGACCUGCAUCUCAGUGAGAACCCCCCUGUCACCCCCACUGGCUAGAGCCAAGCAGAGUGAGAAGUUAGGGAAGAAGAGAUGCUUUGGCACUCAAGGGGAUAAGGGGGGCAAAAUAGUUUUGUUAGGAUUUAGCUUCUACGUUGGGACGAGGAAUUAAUUCGUAAGAGUUGAGGGUUUCAAUGUUAAAUUGUAUACGUGAUAGCAAAUUUCAUGAAUUUCACUUAAUUCAUUAAACAAAUAGUUAUUAUUGAGUAUGUGUUAUAAACUAGACUUAUAUGUUAAUAUCUGGUGCACACAUUAUAAGCUGACUUGGUGAGUUUGGUUAGAUAACAGGAAAGAGCCUAAUUUGGGAUACAAAUUAUGUCGAGUAACUUCUUUGCCCUGCAUAUAGUGUGGCCUUUGGGUAAACUCAAUUGAAAUAAAAUCCAGAUAUUUCUGCAGUUCAGCGGGUAACAUCAAAGAGAUUUUCAUGAAAGGACUUGAUUGCCCAACUGUUCAUCUCGUUGGUCCCAGGUGAGACAAAUGAGUACUGGCAAAGAUCGAGAAGGUGGCCUCACAAAAGUACAGGCUUUUCUGAUACUCUCCUGAUUUCCUCCCUUGUGAGGGACAGCUAGCUUCCUGGUUACCUGAAAGACCACUGGGUGAAGGACAGUGCUUGAGGGAAUGUUGGCUACACACUAGAGCCUUCAGCUUCAGUCUGCCACCGUCCUAAGUCCCUUUCCAGUCAAGAGUGGGUGAAGAACAAAAUGGAUUCCAAGAACAGAUAUCGUGCUAUGGGUGGCGCUUCUCUUUUGAGGACUAUUGGAUUAAAAAUAGAACUGGACUGGAACAAGCACUAUUGACAAUGCCCCUGGGCUCUUCUCUUCCACUUGGUGUGUUCUUUGCCAGCUUCUCACAGGCAAGUGGAGCCCAGGGGGUUGAAAGUUAGAUCAGCCUCCAGUCUGAACAAAUGGUGUCCUUCAGUUCCCCCAGGAGAUCCCAGCUCACCAAGCUCCACCUUUGUCAGAGGUUUUCUGAUUCUUACUGGUAAUAAAGUGUGCACUUU